Molecule: ribosomal RNA, 254 nt
Filed under: uncultured bacterium
Lineage: Bacteria
Description: partial 16S ribosomal RNA
Rfam family: Bacterial small subunit ribosomal RNA
Source: RNAcentral
GACGAACCGUGCGAACGUUAUUCGGAAUCACUGGGCUUAAAGCGCGUGUAGGCGGGAGGGCACGUCCGUCGCUGAAAUCCCCCGGCUCAACCGGGGAACGGGCGCGGAUACGACCUUCCUGGAGGGGCGUAGGGGGACCUGGAACUUCCGGUGGAGCGGUGAAAUGCGUUGAGAUCGGAAGGAACGCCCGUGGCGAAAGCGAGGUCCUGGACGCCUACUGACGCUGAGGCGCGAAAGCGUGGGGAGCAAACAGG